UACAGAGGGGGCGAGCGUUGUUCGGAAUUACUGGGCGUAAAGGGCGCGUAGGCGGCCUGUUAAGUCGAACGUGAAAUCCCUGGGCUCAACCCAGGAACUGCGUCCGAUACUGGCAGGCUUGAAUUCGGGAGAGGGAUGCGGAAUUCCAGGUGUAGCGGUGAAAUGCGUAGAUAUCUGGAGGAACACCGGUGGCGAAGGCGGCAUCCUGGACCGAUAUUGACGCUGAGGCGCGAAAGCCAGGGGAGCAAACGGG
Molecule: ribosomal RNA, 253 nt
Filed under: uncultured bacterium
Lineage: Bacteria
Description: partial 16S ribosomal RNA
Rfam family: Bacterial small subunit ribosomal RNA
Source: RNAcentral